UACGAAGGGGGCUAGCGUUGCUCGGAAUCACUGGGCGUAAAGGGUGCGUAGGCGGGUCUUUAAGUCAGGGGUGAAAUCCUGGAGCUCAACUCCAGAACUGCCUUUGAUACUGAGGAUCUUGAGUUCGGGAGAGGUGAGUGGAACUGCGAGUGUAGAGGUGAAAUUCGUAGAUAUUCGCAAGAACACCAGUGGCGAAGGCGGCUCACUGGACCGGAACUGACGCUGAGGCGCGAAAGCGUGGGGAGCAAACGGGG
Molecule: ribosomal RNA, 254 nt
Filed under: uncultured bacterium
Lineage: Bacteria
Description: partial 16S ribosomal RNA
Rfam family: Bacterial small subunit ribosomal RNA
Source: RNAcentral